Molecule: ribosomal RNA, 507 nt
Filed under: uncultured Planctomycetota bacterium
Lineage: Bacteria; Pseudomonadati; Planctomycetota
Description: bacterial SSU rRNA
Rfam family: Bacterial small subunit ribosomal RNA
Source: RNAcentral
GCCUGACCGAGCGACGCGCGUGGAGACGAGGCCUUCGGGUUGUAAACUCUGGUCGAGGGGGAAGAAGGGUCGAAGACCUUGACUGAUCCCUGGAGGAAGCACGGGCUAAGUUCGUGCCAGCAGCCGCGGUAAGACGAACCGUGCGAACGUUAUUCGGAAUCACUGGGCUUAAAGUGCGUGUAGGCGGAGGGCACGUCCGUCGCUGAAAUCCCCCGGCUCAACCGGGGAACGGGCGCGGAUACGACCUUCCUGGAGGGGGCGUAGGGGGACCUGGAACUUCCGGUGGAGCGGUGAAAUGCGUUGAGAUCGGAAGGAACGCCCGUGGCGAAAGCGAGGUCCUGGACGCCUACUGACGCUGAGACGCGAAAGCCAGGGGAGCGAACGGGAUUAGAUACCCCGGUAGUCCUGGCCGUAAACGAUGGGCACUGGGUAGGGGGCUCGCCGAUGGGCUCCCUGCCGUAGGGAAACCGUGAAGUGCCCCGCCUGGGGAGUAUGGUCGCAAGGCUG